ACGAGCAUAACCUGUCCUGUUUGCUGCAUUGUUUAUGUUCAUCAAUUUUAGACUUUCGUGCUGCUGUCUAAAUCACAGAAACAGGUUGCAGUGCUUUACGCUGUCCCUCUACCUGCUGGAGGGAAAAUUUGUAUAAGUGUCGCAGAAGUGUUCAUUUUUCUCGUUUCGAUAGACAUAGCCACUGCAAGACCACUGUCUUUAAAGCUUCACUGUCUAAAUAAUUUAGGAACUGAUCGACAUCAGCGGAACUGUGAUGGAACUGCAGUGUGACAUAUGUUUCAACCGUUAUGACCUGACAGACCACCGUCCUAAGAAUCUGCCCUGUGGUCAUACCAUCUGUAAUGAAUGUGUGCAAAAUCCAGCCUUGGGGGGAAAGUGUCCAGUUUGCAGGAAGGACCUGAACGCUGACCCCGCUGACAUCCCGGACAGCAUCCUAGCGAUCCGCCUGAUUGAAACCGACGGCGCGCCUCCUCACAAGAAGCCUUGGACAGGGGAGACAGAGGUCCAGCAGCUGCGGCGGGGCGU
Molecule: long non-coding RNA, 525 nt
Organism: Frankliniella occidentalis (western flower thrips)
Lineage: Eukaryota; Metazoa; Arthropoda; Insecta; Thysanoptera; Thripidae
Exons: 3
Source: RefSeq, a predicted model, not a curated record